GUGGGGAAUAUUGGGCAAUGGGGGAAACCCUGACCCAGCAACGCCGCGUGAAGGAAGAAGGCUUUCGGGUUGUAAACUUCUUUUACCAGGGAAAAACACAAUGAUGGUACCUGGAGAAAAAGCUACGGCUAACUACGUGCCAGCAGCCGCGGUAAUACGUAGGUGGCAAGCGUUGUCCGGAAUUACUGGGUGUAAAGGGCGUGUAGGCGGGACAGCAAGUCAGAUGUGAAAACCAGAGGCUCAACCUCUGGCCUGCAUUUGAAACUGUUGUUCUUGAGUGUCGGAGAGGUAAUCGGAAUUCCGUGUGUAGCGGUGAAAUGCGUAGAUAUACGGAGGAACACCAGUGGCGAAGGCGGAUUACUGGACGAUAACUGACGCUGAGGCGCGAAAGCGUGGGGAGCAAACAGGAUUAGAAACCCGAGUAGUCC
This 428-nucleotide ribosomal RNA is filed under the name uncultured bacterium. RNAcentral describes it as "partial 16S ribosomal RNA". It matches the Rfam family "Bacterial small subunit ribosomal RNA", at positions 354 to 796 of the family's 1533-position model. The record is from RNAcentral.